CCUACGGGUGGCAGCAGUGGGGAAUAUUGGACAAUGGGGGGAACCCUGAUCCGGCCAUGCCGCGUGUGUGAAGAAGGCCCUCGGGUUGUAAAGCACUUUCAGUGAGGAAGAACGCCUGGUGGUUAAUACCCAUCAGGAAAGACAUCACUCACAGAAGAAGCACCGGCUAACUCCGUGCCAGCAGCCGCGGUAAUACGGAGGGUGCGAGCGUUAAUCGGAAUUACUGGGCGUAAAGCGCGCGUAGGUGGCUUGAUAAGCCGGUUGUGAAAGCCCCGGGCUCAACCUGGGAACGGCAUCCGGAACUGUCAAGCUAGAGUGCAGGAGAGGAAGGUAGAAUUCCCGGUGUAGCGGUGAAAUGCGUAGAGAUCGGGAGGAAUACCAGUGGCGAAGGCGGCCUUCUGGACUGACACUGACACUGAGGUGCGAAAGCGUGGGUAGCAAACAGGAUUAGAUACCCUUGUAGUC
Molecule: ribosomal RNA, 465 nt
Filed under: Vreelandella stevensii
Lineage: Bacteria; Pseudomonadati; Pseudomonadota; Gammaproteobacteria; Oceanospirillales; Halomonadaceae
Description: partial 16S ribosomal RNA
Rfam family: Bacterial small subunit ribosomal RNA
Source: RNAcentral